RNAcentral lists this ribosomal RNA (465 nucleotides) under uncultured bacterium. RNAcentral's name for it is "partial 16S ribosomal RNA". It matches the Rfam family "Bacterial small subunit ribosomal RNA", at positions 28 to 507 of the family's 1533-position model. The record is from RNAcentral.
GAUGAACGCUGGCGGCGUGCUUAACACAUGCAAGUCGAACGGAAAGGCCCAAGCUUGCUUGGGUACUCGAGUGGCGAACGGGUGAGUAACACGUGGGUGAUCUGCCCUGCACUUCGGGAUAAGCCUGGGAAACUGGGUCUAAUACCGGAUAGGACCACAUUUUGGAUGGUGUGGUGGAAAGUUUUUCGGUGUGGGAUGAGCUCGCGGCCUAUCAGCUUGUUGGUGCGGUAAUGGCCUACCAAGGCGUCGACGGGUAGCCGGCCUGAGAGGGUGUACGGCCACAUUGGGACUGAGAUACGGCCCAGACUCCUACGGGAGGCAGCAGUGGGGAAUAUUGCACAAUGGGCGCAAGCCUGAUGCAGCGACGCCGCGUGGGGGAUGACGGCCUUCGGGUUGUAAACUCCUUUCGCUAGGGACGAAGCGCAAGUGACGGUACCUGGAGAAGAAGCACCGGCUAACUACGUG